Long non-coding RNA from Cheilinus undulatus (humphead wrasse), 214 nucleotides. RefSeq lists it as uncharacterized. The transcript has 3 exons. The record is from RefSeq and is a predicted model, not a curated record. Lineage: Eukaryota; Metazoa; Chordata; Actinopteri; Labriformes; Labridae.
AUGGAGCAGAAGAAGAGACAGCUUGAGGAGAGCCAGGACGCUCUGGCUGAAGAGCUCGAGAAAACACACGAGAUGUCAGGAGAGGAGAAGAAGAAGGAGGACAUCGGCAGACACGAUGGGGACGGGGACAUAAAGAAAACUCUGGAGGAGCAGCUGGAGAACCACAGAGAGGCUCACCACAAACAGCUGAGCUGACUGAGAGACAAGAUUGAAG